Molecule: ribosomal RNA, 263 nt
Filed under: uncultured bacterium
Lineage: Bacteria
Description: partial 16S ribosomal RNA
Rfam family: Bacterial small subunit ribosomal RNA
Source: RNAcentral
GAUGAACGCUGGCGGCGUGCCUAACACAUGCAAGUCGAACGAUGAUCUUUCGGGAUCAUAGUGGCGGACGGGUGAGUAACACGUUAGUACCUGCCCUUUAGUGGGGAAUAACCCGGCGAAAGUCGGGCUAAUACCGCAUGAGACCGUUUACGGUGAAAGCCUUCGGCGCUAAAGGAGGGCUUGCGUCUGAUUAGCUUGUUGGUAGGGUAAUGGCCUACCAAGGCAAUGAUCAGAGCUGGUUCGAGAGGAUGACCAGCCACACU